Molecule: long non-coding RNA, 1007 nt
Filed under: Panax ginseng (ginseng)
Lineage: Eukaryota; Viridiplantae; Streptophyta; Magnoliopsida; Apiales; Araliaceae
Description: long non-coding RNA (PGIN_LNC013428)
Source: RNAcentral
UUUUUUUAACCAAAACAGUUCAUAGAGGACUUCUAUCGAACAUUUCAUAUGUGCUGUUUUGAAACACCAUUUCCAUAGCCAUUUGUUUGUGUUACUAACCCAUUCAAGCCUUCUUAUAUCACCAGACAACCAAGCCAUGAAGUAGUUGUAGAAAGUUAUCAUCUCGAAUACCACAUCAGACUAACAACUCCAUCAUAAAUAUUUUCUACAUUCACGUGGAAACUAUUUGGGCUAUUAAUUACUCAGUCUUUGAAAUUAGUUCACCAGUACUUGCAUCCUUCACUUAAGCUUGUGUUAUGAUUUUAAUAUAUCCAAAAUGAGAAAUUGCCCAUUCAGGUUUUAAGUUUCAAUAAUAUCAAUUAAUUUCAUAUUCUAGUAAAAUAUCCUCAUUUAGACAUUUUAACAAACACCAAACAUGCAAGCUUUAAAAAACUCAGUUUUAUAUAAAUUCUAACAUAUAAAUACAGAAUUUCGUUAUGUAAUCCUUCUUUAUACUCUAGAAUCUUUCUGAUGCCACCAAUAAUACAACCUCCCACAAUCAAUCAUAACAAUUAAUAACUAUUAUUUACUCAAAUUUUAUGAAUUUUGCCAAGAAAACAUAACUUGCCUUUUUUUUUGCUUGCUAUUAUAGUUGAAAUCUUGCUCUGAGCUUGAUUAUGUAGGAAUUGAAUCCCUCCUUUGCCAAUACUUCAAAAUCUUCUUUACUUCCCGCUUGGAGUAUCAAUUAUUUCACUUACUCUAACUUUUGGUAAAGGCUUCUUGUAUAAGAUUUGAAGAAGAGUUCGAGCUUGGUUUUCUUGGGAGCAAAAGGGCUGCACAUUUUUGAACUUAGGAGGUGAAAUGAGUUGCACUGUAUAAGGAUAAAAAAAACCCACUAACUUCUUCCAGCAGCUCCCUCAUUUCCCACUCAAAUAGAUUUGCUAGGUGGUUUCCUCCUAGUUAGUACACCACCUACUUUACUUAUACACCUCAUACUAAAAAUGAAUAAGCAAUUAUGCAUACUUAAU